RNAcentral lists this long non-coding RNA (211 nucleotides) under Setaria viridis. Its description in RNAcentral is "long non-coding RNA (SVIR_LNC001143)". The record is from RNAcentral. Lineage: Eukaryota; Viridiplantae; Streptophyta; Magnoliopsida; Poales; Poaceae.
CUGGCUCGGAGUUCGACCAGAGUCUUCGACUCUUCGUGCCGAGCCGGAGCUGCAGGGCGAUCGGCUGCCGAGCGGAGCGGAGCAGAACACUGUGCGUGUCCUCCGGGCGGCGAUGCAGUGCGCUGCACGCCAAAGAAGAAGAAGCGCGUCAAGAACGGGAGGCCGCUGGAACUUGGAGCCCACUACACCAGGAGGCACAGGCACCGUGGCG